CCUGGCUCAGAACGAACGCUGGCGGCAUGCCUAACACAUGCAAGUCGAACGAACCCUUCGGGGUUAGUGGCGCACGGGUGCGUAACGCGUGGGAACCUGCCUUUAGGUUCGGAAUAACAGUGAGAAAUUACUGCUAAUACCGGAUAAUGUCUUCGGACCAAAGAUUUAUCGCCUUUAGAUGGGCCCGCGUUGGAUUAGCUAGUUGGUGGGGUAAAGGCCUACCAAGGCGACGAUCCAUAGCUGGUCUGAGAGGAUGAUCAGCCACACUGGAACUGAGACACGGUCCAGACUGCUACGGGAGGCAGCAGUGGGGAAU
Molecule: ribosomal RNA, 316 nt
Filed under: Heterosigma akashiwo
Lineage: Eukaryota; Raphidophyceae; Chattonellales; Chattonellaceae
Description: partial Bacterial small subunit ribosomal RNA
Rfam family: Bacterial small subunit ribosomal RNA
Source: RNAcentral